AGAGGAAGCAGGAGCAGCCUCAGGUGGAGGACCCUUUUCCAGAUGAGACCAGUCAGGUGGAGGAUUCAGACAUUUGGGUCGUCCAGAUUGGAGAAGACGGAGAAUAUAUUACAGUUGACAGUGAAACAUGGCCAAAUGACAGUAGCACAACUUUUCCUGAUUCUUUCCUAAGAGGAGAUUCUGUGGAACCAGAUCAGGUGACUUUUGAAGAUGUGUCUGUGGAUUUCUCAGAGGAGGAGUGGGCCCUCUUGGAUCCAAGCCAGAAAGCCUUGCACCAGCAAGUCGUGGAGGAAAAUUUAGGGAUCGUGUUAUCUCUGGGUAAAGCUCCAUUAUGCUUGUAGUU
Non-coding RNA from Anolis sagrei ordinatus, 343 nucleotides. The record is from RefSeq and is a predicted model, not a curated record. Lineage: Eukaryota; Metazoa; Chordata; Lepidosauria; Squamata; Anolidae.